GCUCAGAACGAACGCUGGCGGCAGGCUUAACACAUGCAAGUCGAACGCCCCGCAAGGGGAGUGGCAGACGGGUGAGUAACGCGUGGGAACAUACCCUUUCCUGCGGAAUAGCUCCGGGAAACUGGAAUUAAUACCGCAUACGCCCUACGGGGGAAAGAUUUAUCGGGGAAGGAUUGGCCCGCGUUGGAUUAGCUAGUUGGUGGGGUAAAGGCCUACCAAGGCGACGAUCCAUAGCUGGUCUGAGAGGAUGAUCAGCCACAUUGGGACUGAGACACGGCCCAAACUCCUACGGGAGGCAGCAGUGGGGAAUAUUGGACAAUGGGCGCAAGCCUGAUCCAGCCAUGCCGCGUGAGUGAUGAAGGCCUUAGGGUUGUAAAGCUCUUUCACCGAUGAAGAUAAUGACGGUAGUCGGAGAAGAAGCCCCGGCUAACUUCGUGCCAGCAGCCGCGGUAAUACGAAGGGGGCUAGCGUUGUUCGGAAUUACUGGGCGUAAAGCGCACGUAGGCGGAUAUUUAAGUCAGGGGUGAAAUCCCGCAGCUCAACUGCGGAACUGCCUUUGAUACUGGGUAUCUUGAGUAUGGAAGAGGUAAGUGGAAUUCCGAGUGUAGAGGUGAAAUUCGUAGAUAUUCGGAGGAACACCAGUGGCGAAGGCGGC
This 655-nucleotide ribosomal RNA is filed under the name Rhizobium sp. RNAcentral's name for it is "bacterial SSU rRNA". It matches the Rfam family "Bacterial small subunit ribosomal RNA", at positions 22 to 725 of the family's 1533-position model. The record is from RNAcentral. Lineage: Bacteria; Pseudomonadati; Pseudomonadota; Alphaproteobacteria; Hyphomicrobiales; Rhizobiaceae.